RNAcentral lists this ribosomal RNA (492 nucleotides) under uncultured bacterium. Its description in RNAcentral is "partial 16S ribosomal RNA". It matches the Rfam family "Bacterial small subunit ribosomal RNA", at positions 29 to 507 of the family's 1533-position model. The record is from RNAcentral.
AGUGAACGCUGGCGGUAGGCCUAACACAUGCAAGUCGAACGGCAGCACAGUAAGAGCUUGCUCUUACGGGUGGCGAGUGGCGGACGGGUGAGGAAUACAUCGGAAUCUACUUUUUCGUGGGGGAUAACGUAGGGAAACUUACGCUAAUACCGCAUACGACCUACGGGUGAAAGCAGGGGAUCUUCGGACCUUGCGCGAUUGAAUGAGCCGAUGUCGGAUUAGCUAGUUGGCGGGGUAAAGGCCCACCAAGGCGACGAUCCGUAGCUGGUCUGAGAGGAUAAUCAGCCACACUGGAACUGAGACACGGUCCAGACUCCUACGGGAGGCAGCAGUGGGGAAUAUUGGACAAUGGGCGCAAGCCUGAUCCAACCAUACCGCGUGGGUGAAGAAGGCCUUCGGGUUGUAAAGCCCUUUUGUUGGGAAAGAAAAGCAGCAGGUUAAUACCCCGCUGUUCUGACGGUACCCAAAGAAUAAGCACCGGCUAACUUCGUG